UUGUUUGCAGAUGUAGCAUCAUCAAGAUUCACAUGCAAAGUAUGUAUAUAUAUGCAUAUGAUAUAUAUUGGUUUUGGCCUGGGAAUCCUGAUGAUGCUGCAUUCGCAAUGAA
RNAcentral lists this microRNA precursor (112 nucleotides) under Corchorus olitorius. RNAcentral's name for it is "mir-172 microRNA precursor family". It matches the Rfam family "mir-172 microRNA precursor family". From Rfam's summary of the family: mir-172 has been experimentally verified in Arabidopsis thaliana. This family is thought to target mRNAs coding for APETALA2-like transcription factors. Lineage: Eukaryota; Viridiplantae; Streptophyta; Magnoliopsida; Malvales; Malvaceae. The record is from Rfam by way of RNAcentral.